GAUGAACGCUGGCGGCGUGCUUAACACAUGCAAGUCGAGCGAAGCACUUAAGUUCGAUUCUUCGGAUGAAGACUUUUGUGACUGAGCGGCGGACGGGUGAGUAACGCGUGGGUAACCUGCCUCAUACAGGGGGAAAACAGUUAGAAAUGGCUGCUAAUACUGCAUAAGACCACAGUACUGCAUGGUACAGUGGUAAAAACUCCGGUGGGAUGAGAUGGACCCGCGUCUGAUUAGGUAGUUGGUGAGGUAACGGCCCACCAAGCCGACGAUCAGUAGCCGACCUGAGAGGGUGACCGGCCACAUUGGGACUGAGACACGGCCCAGACUCCUACGGGAGGCAGCAGUGGGGAAUAUUGCACAAUGGGCGAAAGCCUGAUGCAGCGACGCCGCGUGAAGGAUGAAGUAUUUCGGUAUGUAAACUUCUAUCAGCAGGGAAGAAAAUGACGGUACCUGACUAAGAAGCCCCGGCUAACUACGUGCCAGCCGCCGCAGUAA
Molecule: ribosomal RNA, 495 nt
Filed under: uncultured bacterium
Lineage: Bacteria
Description: partial 16S ribosomal RNA
Rfam family: Bacterial small subunit ribosomal RNA
Source: RNAcentral